Molecule: ribosomal RNA, 2454 nt
Filed under: Candidatus Kaiserbacteria bacterium
Lineage: Bacteria; Candidatus Kaiseribacteriota
Description: partial 23S ribosomal RNA
Rfam family: Bacterial large subunit ribosomal RNA
Source: RNAcentral
CCUAUGGGAACGAAGGGUGUAUGGUGGAUGCCUUGGCUUCAAGAAGCGAUGAAGGACGUGAUAUGGCUGCGAUAAGGUUCGGGGAGGCGCCAAAUAGCCUUUGAUCCGGACAUGUCCGAAUGGGGAAACCUCACAAGUUACGCUUGUGGCCGGUGUAUGCCGGCGCUUACCUGGGGAAGUGAAACAUCUCAGUACCCAGAGGAAGAGAAAGCAAUAUUGGAACUUUCUUUCUGAACAGAUGCUUUGCAUCUAGUUCAGGGAGCAAUUCCUGGACGAUGGGCGACCAAAUUUUUAAGGAGCGAAAGCGACUAUAAAAAUGGAAGUGCCCUGGUGGUGCAUUGCUCCAUUAUGUUCAGGAAGAAGGUUCUUGCGAUUCCCGGAGUAGCGGCGAGCGAAAGGGGAAUAGCCCAAACCAUACGUAUUUAUAUGUAUGGGGUUGUAGGGCGGAGUUUGCAUUUAGUUGCGACAAGUUACAAAACAGAUAUAUAGGAAAACGAGUUGGGAAGCUCGACCCCAGAAGGUAAUAGUCCUGUAUUCGAAAUGUAUCUGACUUGUUUGAUUCCGUUCCUGAGUAGCCCGAGACAUGAAUAGCUCGGGUGAAUCUACCAGAACUAACUGGUAAGGCUAAAUAUUCUUGGAGACCGAUAGUGAACUAGUACCGUGAGGGAAAGGUGAAAAGAACCCCGGAGAGGGGAGUGAAAUAGAUCUGAAACCAUACAUCUACAAGGAGUCGAAGCCCUGCGGGGCGACGGCGUGCCUAUUGAAGAAUGAGCCGGCGAGUAUUUGAUAACUGCUUUAGGUUAAGGCAUUUCGUGCCGAAGCCGUAGUGAAAGCGAGCCUGAAUAGGGCGAUUUAGUUGGCAGGAUUAGACCCGAAACCGGGUGACCUAACCAUGAGCAGGCUGAAGCUUCUGUAACAGGAAGUGGAGGGCCGAACCGUAGUCCGCAGCAAAGGGCCCGGAUGACUUGUGGUUAGCGGUGAAAUGCCAAUCGAACCCGGAGAUAGCUGGUUCUCCUCGAAACAGUUUUAGGACUGGCGUCAUGUAGUAGCAGUCGGGGGUAGAGCUCUGUAAAGGACUGGGGGGAGCAAUCCUACCCACCCUUAACAAACUACGAAUACCGACUGUGUAAUCAUGGCAGUUAGAACGGCGGAGCUAAGUUCGUCGCUCAAAAGGGAAACAGCCCAGACCAUCGUCUAAGGUCCCUAAAUUAUCACUAAGUGGGAAACAAGGUGAGAUUUCUUAAACAGCUAGGAUGUUGGCUUAGAAGCAGCCAUUCAUUUAAAGAGUGCGUAACAGCUCACUAGUCAAGAGAUCUUGCGUGGAAAAUGUAACGGGGCUAAGUGAUAUACCGAAGACAUGGAUGCGUAUUUAUACGCGUGGUAGAGGAGCGUUCCUAUCUGCAGUGAAGCUGGACUGGAAAGUACAGUGGAGCGUUAGGAAGUGAGAAUGCUGGAAUGAGUAACCAUAAGAUAGGUGAGAAUCCUGUCGGCCGUAAGAGCAAGGUUUCCUGAGCCAUGGUAAUCAUCUCAGGGUUAGUCGGGCCUAAGCCGAGGCGCAUAGCGUAGGCGAUGGACAUCAGGUUAAUAUUCCUGAACCGGCGUAGUUUGCACACUGUUCACGGUGAGAUAUUCGAAGCGGAUUCAUGGUAUGUAUCCGUCCAACCUAGGGGGAACCCAAUGGGAGUGAAAGUUACUCUUUGGAGUGACGAUUUUGGAAAAGGCACUGGCUAGAAAAGCAGAUGUGCGCAAAGACUAUGUCCGCCCGUACCGCAAACCAACACAGGUGCUCGAGUCGAGUAGACUCAGGCUUACGAGAGAACCUUCGCUAAGGAACUCGGCAAUACAGCGACCGUAACUUCGGGAUAAGGUCUGCCCCCACUUCGGUGGAUAUGUGCCGCGUAUACUCAGCGAGAGUAUUGAAACAAGGUUAAAUCGUGCAAGUGUAAUGACUUGCACAUGAGUACGCCACAUAUCUUUUUUCAAAGAUAGCGUGGUCGAAAAAUCCUUUUUAUGACAUAAAUUUUAUAUUCUUUUUUCAAGGUGAUUUUGCGAUCAAAUCGAGCGAAAUUUGUGCAGAUUUUUGAAGAGUAGCAGUAGCUACGCUGAGAAGAGCUAAGCAAAUUGCAGCCGAUUUAGCGUGAAAUAAACGAAAAAUAGAAUGUGAAAAUUAUGUCCAACCAAUAUUUUUUACUGAGAUAGAGCAAUAAUGAUUUUUUAAAUCGGAAAUGUUCUUUUGUACGCGAUACUCACACAUCUAACGAUGUGGGGGCCGCAGCAAAAGAGCCCACGGAACUGUUUAUCAAAAACACAGGUCUCUGCUAACACGAAAGUGGAUGUAUAGGGGCUGACUCCUGCCCGGUGCUGGAAGGUUAAGUGGAGUUGUUAGCUUCGGCGAAGCAAUGAAAUGAAGCCCCAGUAAACGGCGGCCGUAACUAUAACGGUCCUAAGGUAGCG